UUUUUGUGUCAGCAUUCUGUUUGUCUAAUUUUUUUUAUUGAUAUUUUGCAAUGAAUCAUUAACCAUCUCUAGUGGAAGUUUGCAUUCAAAGAUAGAACUAGGAGAAAAUAAAAUAAUAAAAGCUGCACAGUGGGUUAAUUGAGAUUUUACCAAAAUAGUGUUUGCACAUGUAGUAGACAUUUCUAUUAACAUAGUAAGAGUGAUGUAAUUGUUAAUCAUAACAAGAAGAUAUUGUGAUAUAUAGACAUAAAUUUAAUAAAAUUAAGAGCAUAUAAAAUGACAAAUGUGACAUGCUAUAAAAUACCUUAAUAUUUUCUUCUAAAUUUUAGUGUGUACAAGGCCUCUUUUCUUUCCUACUCCCCAAAGAAGCAUAUAUUGGCUUUAUCUGGCUUCUGACAGUUAGCUUAAAAUGUUCAGUGGUGCAGUGGUGGCGUUCUUUGUGUAUAGGAUCGUUAGAGAUGGAGGACACACAAAGACAGGAUCAAUUUUGGAAGUCAGGCCAGAAAAAUAAUCCUCAUAUAAAGGGGCUCCUUUCAUUGUCUGAUGUGCUCCAGGUGAAGAGUCUGUCGGUAUGCACUAUGCGGUGGAUUUGUCAAGAGUUGAUACUUCAAAGAGUCCAGAACUGUGGAAUAUGUUAGAAGUAGAUUUGUCAAGUGCCUUUUUACAAUGUGAAUUAUCCUUUAUUAUUUAAAAGGGCAUAGAAUGGUAGGAAAUAAAUUUGGAUGGCAUAUUGACAAUCUUGUGAAAGGUCAUCUGUGUUUUAGUGGUCUAUGGUACUAUUUUUCAGUUUUCAUUCAGUUGCCUCUAUGAAUCUACUUUGUAUCCUUUCUACUA
Long non-coding RNA from Olea europaea var. sylvestris, 834 nucleotides. RefSeq lists it as uncharacterized. The record is from RefSeq and is a predicted model, not a curated record. Lineage: Eukaryota; Viridiplantae; Streptophyta; Magnoliopsida; Lamiales; Oleaceae. The transcript is spliced from 2 exons.